Molecule: long non-coding RNA, 332 nt
Filed under: Homo sapiens (human)
Lineage: Eukaryota; Metazoa; Chordata; Mammalia; Primates; Hominidae
Description: HSALNT0309128
Source: RNAcentral
CUUCCUGCGACUGCAGAGAUGAAGGGAAUGAAGGUUAGCUCAUGAAUGGUAUGGGGCUGGUGUUUUGGAGUAUACUGGGGGUGGCAGCAGGGGCAACUAUUUGGGAGUUAAAAGGUCCUGGCGCUGGAUAUAGAGAUGGAUUGUGGCAAAGGACUACUAUGAGAAAAUAGAAAAGGAGGCAAGCUGUAAUUGUGUUUAUCAAUCCUUUUGAAUUUUGAAACUUCAAUUUCCACAAAAGAGCUGAUGGAUGGAUGUCAAGAAAAAUGUCGCUGGGGACUUAUUCCUUGUUGGAGUAAUUAACACACUGUUUGACCUCUGGUAACUAAAACUGC